AGUACACGGUUGCUGGAUUGCUUGGUAAGAAUCUGUUCAGUUUUCUAAGAAACUGCUAAACUGGUUUCCAACGUGGCUUUGCCAUUUGCAUUUCCACAAGCAAU
RNAcentral lists this microRNA precursor (104 nucleotides) under Marmota monax (woodchuck). Lineage: Eukaryota; Metazoa; Chordata; Mammalia; Rodentia; Sciuridae. The record is from RNAcentral.